This 253-nucleotide ribosomal RNA is filed under the name uncultured bacterium. Its description in RNAcentral is "partial 16S ribosomal RNA". It matches the Rfam family "Bacterial small subunit ribosomal RNA", at positions 524 to 776 of the family's 1533-position model. The record is from RNAcentral.
UACGUAGGGACCAAGCGUUGUUCGGAUUUACUGGGCGUAAAGGGCGCGUAGGCGGCAAUUCAAGUCAUCUGUGAAAUCUCCGGGCUUAACUCGGAACGGUCAGAUGAUACUGCUUUGCUCGAGUGCGGAAGGGGCAAUCGGAAUUCUUGGUGUAGCGGUGAAAUGCGUAGAUAUCGAGAGGAACACCUGCGGCGAAGGCGGGUUGCUGGGCUGAUACUGACGCUGAGGCGCGAAAGCCAGGGGAGCGAACGGG